This 4914-nucleotide long non-coding RNA is filed under the name Solanum lycopersicum (tomato). RNAcentral describes it as "long non-coding RNA (SLYC_LNC000282)". The record is from RNAcentral. Lineage: Eukaryota; Viridiplantae; Streptophyta; Magnoliopsida; Solanales; Solanaceae.
UCCUCUAACUCCAUUAAUGGCGAUCCUCCCCUCCUUGUAUAGUUCCAUCUUUAACCUGACAAAAAUUUUUUUCAUCAGCUUUUUUAUUAAUUAUAACUUUUUACUUUCAUCUCGUUUUAUAGGUAGAGAAAGAUGGGGAAAAAAAUCUCUCCAAAAAAUUUAUAAAUGAAACAAAAUGAUAAGAAUUUUGAAACCAUUAGAAUGGUGGGGGAAGAAGAUAACCACUGAUACUAAGAAUUUUGAAAUCAUUAGAAUGGUGGGGGAAGAAGAUAACCACUGGUGUAUGGGUAUGGGGGUUGGGGUGGGGUGGGGUGGGGUUGAUAGAAAUAGGGAAGAAGAAGACAAUUGUUCUUCUUUUUUGUUAAUUUUUUUAAAAAAAUUAACUUAGGGGUAUAAAUUAAGAAAAAAAAUAAAAAUAUUAUUUUUAAUAAAUUAACGCGCUCAAGGAAAGUGAAUUACACGUUUUUUGCCAUGUCAGCAUUUUGCGUCUAAUAGGAAUGACUUUUGAACAAAUAAAGUGUUCAAUUGGCACAAGGAUUAGUUGAGGUGUCUAAAUGAAUUAUGCGGACAACUUUGAGUGGCUGGAGAUGACUUAGGCCUAUGAAAUAUGUUAUGUGUUAUAUGCAAUAUGUUAUGUUCUAUAUGUAAGAUGUUAUGUGCUGUGUAAUGGCAUGACUUUCUCAAUUCAAAUUUGGCAAGUCCCCUGACUUUCCUAAUCCCUAUUUGGCAAGUUCACUGACUUGACUUUCCAUAAAUCAUGUUGUUAGGAAAGAUCUAUUCUUACUCAUGCAUGUCCUUAGUGUGUGCUUGCAUAUACCCAUGCUUAGUACAAGUGUGUACUAAUCCCAUGUAACUCUACAUCUUUAGGUGCAGGAACAGGUAAACGUUAGAGCUUACAGAUCGACGUUGAAGCUAUCCGGACGUGGAGCAUUCAUCCGGACUUGGUAGGACUUCAUACAUUCGCGGACGCUUGUCCAUUUUAUUCUAGCUUAGUUAUAGGAUUGAGUUAGAGGAGUAUGUUCCACUAGCGUUUCUUUCCCGUUUCAUUUCAGACAUUGUAUUGGUGUCAUUUUGGCAAGUAUACACUUAAUGUAGUAUUGAACUAUUUCUUUCAUUUGAUAUUCUUAAUAUUAGAUGGUUGAUGGUGAACGUAUAUGAAUUUAAGUAGAAUGACUUACAUGCAUGUUACGAAACAAAAAGGUAAAAUUUUCCGCUAAAAUUAACCUAUAUGAAGUAAGGAUUAUGUAUGUAGGCUUGUCUGCGACCUCUGAGAGGUCAACGACGCCGGUCUCGUCUGGGCUCUAGAUUCCAGUCGUGACAGUACAACCAUCUAUAGCCCCUGACUUGGUGAAAUUCCACUCUUUGAGGCUUCUUCGAUGGCUGCUUAAAGACUGUUAUGAUCAGUUUUCAACAAAACGUUUCGAAGCCUAUUUUGCAACUUUGACUUCAUUUUUGUUUUUAAAAAAUCAUAAUUUUAGAAGUCGCCACUUAAUUUUUUGGGAAAAAUUAAGCCCAAAAAAUUAAGAAACCCAUUUUUUUUUUAAAAAAAAAAGGUUUUAUGAAAGAAAAUAUUUUAUAUAAAAUCAUAGUGGGGUAAUGGUUCAACUAAUUCUCUAAGGAAGGGUUUAAGCAUCUUAAAGAAUCCGCUAACACACUAUUGACCGGAGGACUGAAAUGUUUGGCUAAUUUUAUAUAUAAAAAAAGAUAAUUAUUAAAAUUGUGUAUGAAAAUUAGGUAAAACCUUUUUUUUACUUUGCAAGCUCUCAAGAAUAAUCCAAAAACUUAAAUCUUCUAUCCAUAGUCAUGUUUUGAACUAAUACGAAUAAUUCAAACUCUUAAACAUGGAUUAAAGAACCUUGUUUUUUAAUAACACUACGAAAGGAUAUAGAAAAUCCUAAAGUCAUUAAUAAAAAAGUCAUAAGUUAAAUUGAAAGACAACUAAUUUAUUUUGAGAAAUUUAACAAUUUUAUUUUAUUCAAAAAAUUUAUACUAAAUAGUUAGUUCAAACUCAUAAACAUUGAUACACAAUAAUUAUGAAAAAACAUAAAAGGUUCUUAAGUCAUUCUACAAGUGAUAAGAAAUAAGAAAUACAAUUUAAGAAAUAACAUUCAUUUUGGAGAGGAUUCAUCUAGUUCAAAGGCCAAACAAAUAAGUUAGUUAGACCAUAGCAAACACACAAUAUAAAAGAGUUAAAUAUAAUCGAGAGAUUAAAAUUUGGGCUUCCAGGACCUUAAUCUGCUACCCUGCUACCACUGCUGCCAUAUUGAUUAUGGGUUUCAACCCAAUAUUUAUCUUCAAUUUUCAGCCUUCUGAGUUAUUGGAACUCUGCUUCAGCUGCUGCCAUUUUCAGGCUUUUCAAGUCCAAGGAAAUGCUAUUUUUUUAGCCUUUUCAGCUACUACUGAUGCUGUCUUCUUGGGUGUUUAACCCAAUAAUAUUAGCUUCCUUUCAAUCGAUCUAAAGGAGGUUGACUCAAAUAAAAACGAAUGCAAGAGAUAGAGAGUCAAUUGACUCAAACAAGAGAGUUCAUGCUAAAUUCAAAGAAGAGGAAGAAAGGAUUAAUAAGUGAAUUUAAUAAGCAUGUCGGAACAACAAAACUUAACUUAAAUAAAGAUCAAACAAGAAGGAGAUCACUUAACAACACAAAUGUUUCCAUUAAUCACAACUCAACUCCAACUAUAAGAGAUUAGCAAAAGUGAUUAAUUUCAAGCCAUAUAAAUUAGUAUUUGUUCAACAGCCAAGAUUUUUAUAAAGAAGUACAAAUGAAGAAACUCAAUUCAUAUUUCUAUCAGUAUUCAAUUUCCAACAAGACAAACAUACUAAAAGAAAAAGUUUUGGUAAAAUAGAGGGAGACUUCAAUACUUCAGCAAUACAAUAGAUAAGCAAUUUAAGAACUAACAAGUUCAACAUAGUAUUUUAAUUCCAAAAUUUAGAUGCGGAGGAGUACACGACUUGUAUUCUUAAUUGUAUGAAUUUAAAGAGGACAGCCAAAGGGGAGGAAACCAUCAGAAAUAGAGGAAGAUACUUAAUUUCCAAUCCUAACAUAUUUUUUCACAUUCAAACCAAGAAACAAUACAAUCAUAAAUUCUAAUCAUAUAUUUAAGCAAAAAGAAGAUCAAAACAUAGAUAAGGAAAGGGACAAAUGAAUAUUUACCAUAAAACUUAACAAACUUUAGAAAGACUUAAGGUGACCGUUUAAGAAGACAAGACUACUCAAACAGACAUAUAUAUAUAGUUAUCUUAAGACAGUUCACUGCAUAGAAAGUAAGAUGAACAACUAAACUUGAAACAUGAGUUCAUACAACAUCAGUUACUGGGUAAGUUUCACAAAUGUUGACAUUUCAAAGGAAUGGAAAAUACUUAAGAGAGGCAGUAACCAGAUCACAACAACAUCUAAUUUGAACUUGAAAGAAUUUCUUUCCAAGAUGACCAAGCUACUGCAAUCUAAAUGGAAAUCUUCAUAUCGAACAAAUGCGUCAUAUAUCUUAAACUAGGAAGACAGAUAUAUAUAUUUUGUAAAAACUAAAAAAUUGAAAUUUCCAAUAAGCUUUGACCAUUAUAGCAUUGAAUCAUUUGUUGUUAAAAAAGUAGUCAUACACAAGUGAACAAGAAAUCAUAUUACUAUUGAUGGUUAAUGAGGCAAACUAAACAACAAUCAAGAUUAAUGAAUAACUUUACGUUCACACUCAAUGUAUUCGGAAACUAUCAAAACUAAUAUAAUAAUAGGCACAUAUUCUAGGCUUGAUAAGAGUGCAGACAACCAAAUAAUAUAAGCCAAAACUUAAAACCCAAAGUGGAAUUCCAUUAUACAAGCUAAAAUUUGCUCAAAACUAAUCAAAUUAAAGCUAAAGAAUAAACAACAAGGAAUAAGGCCAAACAGUAAGCAACAAAAAUAUUGGAAAAGGGAACUUAAACAAAGAGUGAAUUGUAGAAGUUAACUCGCUAAGAGGGUCCUACAUAUUAUUAUGAGAAAUUUUAGAAAACUUUUUGAAGACAAUCUGAUAGGCAGCAAGAAGAUGGACCAAAUAGAAUGAAAAGUCGAUAUUGAAAAGACCAUAAGAAAAUUAACAAUGACCAACGAGAGAACAAAACUCUAAAUACAUACUACUGAUCAAACCAAAAAGAAACCAUCAAAUUUAAGCUACAAGGGACAUAAUUAAACUGAAGAAUACAAGACAAAGGAAAAAAUUCCUAAACGAAAGCAACUAAACACAUUACAAAUAAUUAGUCGAAAAUAAUAAGAUGACACUAACGUAACCUGGUUCUGGGAUGCGACUGGAGAUGAAGAGGGACAAAAUGCUUCAACCACCGACCUCGACCUCACCGAAUUCUGACGAACAACAAGCGAGAAAGAGGCUACAAUCUGAACUUGAAAGACUAUGGCUUUGAAUGUCAAGAAUAUUUAAUAUAACAUUGUUUUUUCACUCUCUGUCCGUACUAAUUUGACUCCUAUAUUUCCCAAUCCUUUUUCCCACCUUUAAUAAUGGAGAAAGAGGAGGUAUUUAUAGAAGAAAACUAGGUUCCAAUCUUUCAGAGGGAAACGGAUAAAACUCUUGGAUUAAAGGGCGCGUUCAAAAUUCAAACUCCCAGAAACCUUUUACCAAUAAAGGGAAACACCCUUUUUCUGAGAUUUCAACCCAUUCCUGAAGAGGGAAGGGGAUAUGGACGUCUUGGAUCAAUUUGAUUGUCCUUGAGAUGCUACGUGUCUCAAUCCCAAGGCGCAUGGACUAUUUCACAUGCUUUUCUAGUGAUUUGCUAUACGAACUGACAGGGUUGGGAACAAGAAGGCAAUAAAAUUGUAGAAUAGCAUUGCAUCGCGUACAAGGCAUGAAGUUUCCAUGUAUUUUCGUAUGAACUGGAGACGAGUAGGGGCCGUUUGGUUGCUGUUUCUGCUGCGUUUUGGAGCAGUCGUGAAG